Long non-coding RNA from Sorghum bicolor (sorghum), 1627 nucleotides. RefSeq lists it as uncharacterized. NCBI's taxonomy places the organism in Eukaryota, Viridiplantae, Streptophyta, Magnoliopsida, Poales, Poaceae. The record is from RefSeq and is a predicted model, not a curated record. The transcript has 6 exons.
CUCGGUUUCUCCCGACCCAGCACAUCGGUAAAAAAAAGUCCGGCCUCUCCCCUUCUUUUUCCUCGUCACUCCCUCGCCUCCUCCCUCUACGCCGGCAGAGCGACGGCGGCGGCCGCCCUCCUCCUCUUCCUCCUCCCCCCUCGCAUCGCAGCAUGCUGGACAGGCCAGCACGCCGGCCCACCGCGCAAGGCGCUGCCAGGGCGCGACGGCACCCCCUGGCUGCGGCGCGACGCCAUACGUGGGCCUCGGCGGUGGCCGUCACCAGUCAUGGCCGCCGCCUCGUCCUUCUCCUCCACUCGCGUCCCGGUGUACCGGCCUCUCUACAUCCUCGCCCGUGACCUCGUCGUAUGUGCUGCUCGGGGCGGCUGGGCGCCGGCUCUUCCUCUUCGUCGACGGUGACGCCGGCCUCUGCUCGGCCUCUAGCUCUGGCGGCGGCCAUCAUCAGGCCUUCGCUGGCGGCGAGCACCCACCAGGUACACACAUCCCUUCUCUUCCCUGCUUGUUGUGCAGCACCGAGCACUCAAACCCUAGCUUAAUCCAUUUGUAUUAGAAUCUGAUCUGGCUACAAUCUCUUUAGAUUUGUUACCUGGUAAGUGUGCAACCUUUUUUUUCUCCACAGAUUAUUCCCAUGUUUAUUUUUCCCUAUAAAUUUGAACCUUAUUUUCUAAAUAUUGACGCUGGCAAGGCCAACUGGAUCAGCAGCUCAGGGAAAAACACAUGAUGAACUCCCCAAGCUGAGCAUGUAGCAAACCUAGAAGCUCGGCCUGAAGCUAUGCGAGAACGCUUUUGCUUACUCACUAUCUUUAGUUUUUUUUUCAUCUAAGUUAACUAACGAGUCUCUAAUAUGAAAUUAACUAAUGGUUUCUGUAUUUUUUUCCUCCAGAAUACCUUAAGUCUACUCUAUUUUACCUCUGAUUCGUACAUUAUUGUCAAAGACUACCAACAGGGAGCUGCCUGGAUAAUCUAUCAAAACAAUGCAUGGCCUAGCAGUUUUCUUGCAGUAAGGUUAAGAUUUUCAGACGCAAAAAUGAAAGAGUAUGCAGACAAGGCUGAAGAACUUGGUGCAAUGCUUGCUACCGAAGUGUGAGUUAAGUCCCUUUACAAAGAAGUAAUUACUUCUCCAUCUAAACCGCAUUGGAGUGCUUCUUACCCUACCAGGUAACCCCCUCUCUGGUGCCUAUCUUAUUCUGGUCGUCUUUCUAUUUUUUGCAUUAUUUGGCUUAACAACAAUUUUAUCGACCGGAAAGCUAAAAGGCACAAGACUCACAUGGAUUCAGUCUUCAGCCAAAACCUAGAGCUCAGACGUCUACUUCAACAAAGAAAACAAAAUAGGGUGCACCACCAUCUUAAACAUGGGUCAUCUUCUUUACAGAAUGACAAGCAACAACUACUCAUGAACUAAUGUUUGUAGAAUAUUGCCUCUGUUAUUUUCUCAAGUAGAAUUGCUAGAAUUAGCCAUCAACCUGCUUCAUACUAAACUUGCAUAACAACUUUAUCACACACUUGACGAUGUUUUCUUUGCCUAUUAAACUCUCCUGUCUUAAUGCAGUGGCACCUCCUAUCAUCGUUUAUAGUGUUUCAAAACUUUGUUGUUCUAUAUUUAUUUAUCAACUUCCAAUACCUUCUA